GAUGAACGCUGACAGAAUGCUUAACACAUGCAAGUCGAUGGGGAAGUGGUGCUUGCACCAUGGUAACCAUGGCGGACGGGUGAGUAACGCGUAAGGAACUUACCUGCGGGACCGGGAUAACAGCAGGAAACUGCUGACAAGACCGGAUAAGGUCAUUAAGCUGCAUAGCUUAGUGAUGAAAGGAGACGCCUGCGGAGAGCCUUGCGUCCUAUUAGCUAGUUGGAGGGGUAACGGCCCACCAAGGCGAAGAUAGGUAGCCGGCCUGAGAGGGUGGACGGCCACAAGGGGACGGAGAUACGGCCCUUACUCCUACGGGAGGCAGCAGUGGGGAAUAUUGGACAAUGGGGGCAACCCUGAUCCAGCAAUUCUGUGUGCACGAAGACGGUUUUCGGAUUGUAAAGUGCUUUCAGCAGGGAAGAAGGAAGUGACGGUACCUGCAGAAGAAGCGACGGCUAAAUACGUG
RNAcentral lists this ribosomal RNA (463 nucleotides) under uncultured bacterium. Its description in RNAcentral is "partial 16S ribosomal RNA". It matches the Rfam family "Bacterial small subunit ribosomal RNA", at positions 28 to 507 of the family's 1533-position model. The record is from RNAcentral.